UACGUAGGGGGCUAGCGUUGUCCGGAAUCAUUGGGCGUAAAGCGCGUGUAGGCGGUCCGGUAAGUCCGCUGUGAAAGUCGGGGGCUCAACCCUCGGAUGCCGGUGGAUACUGUCGGGCUUGAGUACGGAAGAGGCGAGUGGAAUUCCUGGUGUAGCGGUGAAAUGCGCAGAUAUCAGGAGGAACACCGGUGGCGAAGGCGGCUCACUGGCCCGGUACUGACGCUGAGGUGCGAAAGCGUGGGGAGCAAACAGG
Molecule: ribosomal RNA, 253 nt
Filed under: uncultured bacterium
Lineage: Bacteria
Description: partial 16S ribosomal RNA
Rfam family: Bacterial small subunit ribosomal RNA
Source: RNAcentral